AUGUUGUUUUAUUAAUCUUGCUAAUUGCUAAAAGUGUUAAAGUUACAAAGAUGUCCAAAUAAGGACUGUGGAAAUUGAUUUUGUUCCAUUUUUAUAUUUCUUUAAUUGAUCAUUUUAUUCUAUAAACAUUGUGUGUUUCAUAUAUGCACUGAGCUAUUAUGUAGAAAUGAGGUGUUUAUGUUUGAGAGUGGAGAGUUACCAGUUUUUGUGUGUGUGCUGCAAGGAGGAAUUUAGGAAUUUACGACUGGUAUCGAUCAAGAUAAGAGAGAGGCCUGAGGGGGAAAGCAAACAGGCGACUAUGUCAUUAACUAAUGCCUUAAUGUUCACAGGAUAAAAUAUGCAAUGUAUUUCUUACUUAAUCAGUAUUAAUCAUUGAAUAAUUGAUGUAAUAAAUAUAAGAUGUUGUCUUUGAUAAAUUUGUAUUAACCAAUAAAAUGAAGGUUGCAUACAGAAUAACUUAAUGGGGGCAGGGCAGCUCAACCUUGAAGAAACAGAAUCUCCUGUGUGUAUGUAUGUGUGUGUAUGUAUGUAUGUGUGUGUAUGUAUGUGUGUGUGUGUGUGUGUGUGUGUGUGUGUGUGUGUGUGUGUGUGUGUGUGUGUGUGUGUUUUCUUUCCUAACAGAUGAUUUUAAUAAUGAUUAAAGUGUUUGCUUAGAGGUAGUAUUGCAGUAAAAGAUUUAAUAUGUGUUUAUCUAUCUAAAGAAUUUAAUGUGUGCCAUAUUCAUAUAACCAAUUUUACAAAUAAUGAAAUGAUGUCAUGAUAUUGAAAUAUGUUUUACAUAAUAAUCACUUUCAUCUUACAGCUUAUGUUUUUUAUAAAUGAAUGUUUUAUUAAUGAUUUGUUUUUAAGAAAGCAUUAUAACAUGCUAUUCAAAGUGGAGGAGUACUGGAGAGGAACUGCAGGGCUCCCAGGGAUGAGAGGAGAACAGAUUGUUUUUUCUUUGUCUAUGUGUGUCCAUCUUUGCCUACAGGCUAAAAUUGGGUGUGGUGAUGGAGUCAGAUGGACGAGGGGAACGGCCUUUGUGGGUGGAGAUUUUCUGAAGAAACAUCGACGUCACAUAUUUUAUAAAUAAGCAUGUUACUUCCUGAGCUGGUUGUUCGCUACUUGAGAGGACCCAGCGCUGUUAAACUUUUUCAUAUCUGAUCAAUAAAUAUUUGAACUUAGAGAUUUGUAUCUUGUGCCUUCCCUCUAAAUUACACGCAAUGGACGCCUUAAAGCCCAACAAUUGGUGACCGCCGACGUUUUGUGGAGGGAAAGGAGAGAGUGAGAGGAAGGAGGGUUUCACAUUGAAGAAACCAGAGUAAGGGAGGGCUCCAUUUCAACACAAAAGACCGGUCUUCUAAAAUAGAGGUAAGCAGAAACCUGUUAUAUCAAAUUCUGCUAUUGGACAUAUACCAAAUUACUUGUGUUGAUAAGGAGAUCCGAACUGAAUUACAAAUUUACAUUUUUGUAAAUUGAUCAGAGUGAAAAACUUUUAUUUUUAUAGAUAUUAAGAGAUUUAUUAAAAUUGGGUUUGAGGCCCUUAAUGUAUUAGACAUUAUAAAGUAAUAAGUUUGGGUUAGAGGCCUUUAAUGUACUAGACAUUAUAAAGUAAUAAGUUUGGGUUUGAGGCCCUCGGGUUAAAGUCCCGUAAAGGUAAAUUGUGGUUGGAGUCCAUUAAUGUAUUAGACAUUAUAAAGUACCAAGUGGGUUAAAGUCCCUCGGAUGCAAAUUCCGUAAAUUCUAAUUUUAAUCCGGAUAUUAUUUAAUCGCUUUCAACUUUCGCUAAAAAGACGGGUCAGUAGUCGCGCGGGUGAAACCCCUGAAAACUACUGGUGUAUAUAUUCUUUUGCUAGAUUAGAGUGACGUUUUGUGGUUUUUUGAAAUUCUGCAUGCUUGUAAAUUGUGUGAAAAUGGCUAAAUUCCAGAAAGAAUGUGAUGAGUAUGAGUGUCCAACAGUGUAUGUGUAUUUGCAAAAGAUUGUGAGGCUUAGGAUGGUCCGAACAGAUCGAAAUGCUUUUGUAUAUAGAGAAAAGACAAAAAGAGGUUGCAUUAGCGUGGAACACGUUGAGAGAAGAAAACUGUUGGGAGGCAGAGGAGAAAAAGAGAGUUCCUCUCACGCCUAUUAUUUUUGCCAUGGAACAUAGACUGGUAAACAAAAUUAAGACUGUAAAAGCAGAAGGAAAAGUGGUUUGGUAAAGGACCAAAUGUGACAAGCUUAGAGAAAGAGUUGAGAAUUCAGACGAGAUUAGCUCUGGUUGCUGCUGUCAUGCAGGCUAUUAAAUCAAAUAGAAAAAGGGGAAGUUAGCAGUGGUGCAGCUGCAAAGCAAAAGGAAGUUAAACAAGGAAACAGUCAGCCAGACUCAAGUGUGACAACUACGGCUCCUCCUCCAGUUCCACCCCCAGUGAAAUUGAUCUACCCCUCCUUGCACACACCUACUCCUUAUGAGAAAGCCAAAGCCCAAUGAAACAGCCCGUUUUUCAAAUCAAUAGCGGUGAAUUAAAUGUAGAUGUAGAUUUUAUUUGUGUGAAAAUGUAGUGUGUCUGUGAUAUAAUGGGUCUGUUAAAACCAUAAAUGGGAUUAAGCAAAACCUAGCAGAAAGACAGAAGCGGAGCUUUGAAAGAAAAAACAACAAAUUACAGAAAAGAGUAGAGACCAAGUUAUUAAAGGUGGAAAUAAAGAUGAAAAAAAAAAAAAAAAAGGACAGAAAAUUGUUAAAAGGUGAAUGAAACAGAUAGAUUGUAUAAAGGAAAAAAAGAUUUAACAAAAUGAAGAGGAGUCUUCAUCUGAUGAUGGAAGGUGGUCACAAGAUAAAUUUUAUUUUUAAAUUGAAAGGCAAUAUUUUGCAUGGGUCAAGCUGAAACCUUGUGGGCUGAUUAUUCCCAUCCUUUGACAUUCAAGAAAGUGAAUAAAAGCUGGCAAUGAAAAGACAGUGGCAAAAACUGUGUGUGACAUCAAAGUGUUGGAGUUACAAAGAGAGAAGUAACUCAUAAACUGGACUGAGAACACAUUCUAUUUGAAUGGGACUAUACUUAAACUCAAGCAGUGAAGGGGGCACUGCAUAUGGUCAGAGACAAUUACAAGGAUGAAACACCAAAAAGACUGAGUGGAAUCCAGAAAGAUUCAUAAAGAUAAUAAUGUUCUUGGAGGAAAGAGAAACUGGACAAUACUUCACUGGACACUGAACUUUUUCAUCUUCAUACGAGCCUUUGAGUGAAAAGGGGGAAAGAGUAAACAGCCGUUCAAUGCUUAGUAAAGACCUUGUUACUAUAGGGACACAGACAAUCUUUAUGAGAAAAUCAGCUAGACAAAUUUAAAGGCUGAUAAAGAACUUUGUUGUUAGGUGUGACUACCUGUUCUGAAAUCAAAUCAGACUCCUAUUAAUCUGACAGGAAGAAAUGCAUAAUUGAAUUUGGUAUCUACAGAGGAAGUCAGAAUUCCACUGAUGGUACUGAGCUAAAAAGUAAAUAUAUAUGGCAUAGAACAGCUAUGGCAGAAAGGAUAUUAAAAUAGAUAAAAGAAAUAAAUUGAAAAAGAAAAAAGAACACCAUAGAACACUAUAAAAGGUAAACAAGAAAAGCUGUGACAAUAGAAAAAAUAACUGAUUAUUGUAACAAACUUUGUAUAUAAGGAAAUUGCCAGCCCAGACAUCAUAUAUGUGCAUGAAGGUGUUCACAUGGCAGAUCUAAUCACUGAGGGUGAGCCAAAUGAUUGGAUACCAUUGACUGAUAUACAAAUUAUUAUUAUUGUAAUUAAUUGUAUUUGUUAUACCAUUGACUGAAAAAGCAAAUAUAUUGAGAGAUGGUUUGUUCGCGGUACCACUGACAACUCCCCCACCGUUAAACACACUGUUUACAGAUGGUUGUUGUUUCAGAGCAGCAGAUGACACAUUGAAGGCAGGCUUUGCUGUGGUUGAGCAAGUUGUGGGUGAUUUUGUAACACGACUGAGUGGUAGAUUGAAAGGUAAACGGUCAGCACAGAGAGCUGAAAUUACAGCUGUUAUCAAAGCCUUGCACUACACUGGUGAAGAGAGGGUGAUUGUUUAUAGUGAAUCUGCAUAUGUGAUUGGUGCAGUAUAUAUGGAACUGCCAUAUGGCAGAUAGGUGGGUUUGAAACCAGGAAAGGCCGGCCUAUAGUAAAUGCUAGCAAAGCCUGACACAUACUACAGGCUGUGAAGGUACCUAAUGAAGUGGCUGUUGUCAACUGCCUAAUAAACCACUUAUAUCCCCAACCAUGGUUUCCCAAGACAAAGUUAGAUCUGACAUACUGACAAACACGUAAUGGAAUUGACAAAUAGUUUCGGGGCUGCUUAUCACCCCAAUGUUACAGUAAUGCUGAAAUAGUGAACCUGACUUUGACAUUACAACUUGACUUGACAAAAUCUGUGCACAGACAAAAAUAACAUGGCUUGAGGCAUUAUCAAUUGCAUUAAUGUCUAUUCGUUAUUCUGUUAACAGGAUUUCUGGUUUCACAACCUUUGAAUUGCUUACAGGUCGACAGUUUCCAGGUCCAAGGCAUGACGUGGUGCAGGAUCCCAUCCUGCCUAUAACACAUGACGUUUCAUCUGACAAACUAACUGCUAUGAUUGAACAUUUUUCUUGCCAGGCUACCAAACAACGAAAUUGUGAGAACGACCCAGCUGUUAAAACUGAUGAUUGGGUUUCUAACAGACACAGGUGUGGACCUGAGGACUCAGGUCCAAGAGAGGGAAAGUGUUGAAAGUGAAAGUGAAUCAGCUGGAAUACAGAGAGGACAAACAGGAAGUGGUAACACAUCAGUGGUAACACUCACACAACACUAACAACAAAGUCAACAAACUCUGUAAAAUUGUGCAUAAAAGAGGUGACAUUUUUUCCAGCCCAGUAACAGAACCCCUAGCACACUGUGUGAGCACAGAUUGUGCCUACGGAGCAGGUAUAGCCGUACAAUUCAAAGUGAAGUACGGUACACAAAAGGUUGUAAGACAGAACAAACACACAGGUGAAUGUGCAGUUACCCAUGCGGACGACGGCAGAUUGAUUUUUCAUUUAAUAACAAAACAAAAUUGUACUGAUUUACCAACAUAUGAGAAUUUUACCUACAGCCUCAGAUGUAUGAGAGAGUGGUGUGAGAAAGAAAACAUAACAAGUGUAUCCACUCCCCGGCUGGGGUGUGGCCUGGAUAAAUUGGAUUUCCACAAAGUGCUGGAAAUCCUGACAGAAGUGUUUAGAGACCUGAAUAUCACAAUUACCAUAUAUUCAUUAUAACCUGGAGAUGAAGCUAUAUGGAAAUUGGAAGGUUCUGUGGGCCCUAGGAGUUAUAACUGCAAUUAUAAUCACCAUAAUAUUUGGCAUAAACAAUGGAGAUCCCUGUGUAACAGACUGAUAGUGUCUGCAAUAGAGAAAAAAGAAAAUCCACCCAAAUACAGCAUGCGCUAUUAGGCCUACAGAACCUGGAGGAUGAUGAGGAGAAAAUGUGUGACCUCUUUCAGAGGUCAAGAGAGGGAAUUGUGGGAUUUUUAUGUUGUUUUAUUAAUCUUGCUAAUUGCUAAAAGUGUUAAAGUUACAAAGAUGUCCAAAUAAGGACUGUGGAAAUUGAUUUUGUUCCAUUUUUAUAUUUCUUUAAUUGAUCAUUUUAUUCUAUAAACAUUGUGUGUUUCAUAUAUGCACUGAGCUAUUAUGUAGAAAUGAGGUGUUUAUGUUUGAGAGUGGAGAGUUACCAGUUUUUGUGUGUGUGCUGCAAGGAGGAAUUUAGGAAUUUACGACUGGUAUCGAUCAAGAUAAGAGAGAGGCCUGAGGGGGAAAGCAAACAGGCGACUAUGUCAUUAACUAAUGCCUUAAUGUUCACAGGAUAAAAUAUGCAAUGUAUUUCUUACUUAAUCAGUAUUAAUCAUUGAAUAAUUGAUGUAAUAAAUAUAAGAUGUUGUCUUUGAUAAAUUUGUAUUAACCAAUGAAAUGAAGGUUGCAUACAGAAUAACUUAAUGGGGGCAGGGCAGCUCAACCUUGAAGAAACAGAAUCUCCUGUGUGUAUGUAUGUGUGUGUAUGUAUGUAUGUGUGUGUAUGUAUGUGUGUGUGUGUGUGUGUGUGUGUGUGUGUGUGUGUGUGUGUGUAUGUGUGUGUGUGUGUGUUUUCUUUCCUAACAGAUGAUUUUAAUAAUGAUUAAAGUGUUUGCUUAGAGGUAGUAUUGCAGUAAAAGAUUUAAUAUGUGUUUAUCUAUCUAAAGAAUUUAAUGUGUGCCAUAUUCAUAUAACCAAUUUUACAAAUAAUGAAAUGAUGUCAUGAUAUUGAAAUAUGUUUUACAUAAUAAUCACUUUCAUCUUACAGCUUAUGUUUUUUAUAAAUGAAUGUUUUAUUAAUGAUUUGUUUUUAAGAAAGCAUUAUAACAUGCUAUUCAAAGUGGAGGAGUACUGGAGAGGAACUGCAGGGCUCCCAGGGAUGAGAGGAGAACAGAUUGUUUUUUCUUUGUCUAUGUGUGUCCAUCUUUGCCUACAGGCUAAAAUUGGGUGUGGUGAUGGAGUCAGAUGGACGAGGGGAACGGCCUUUGUGGGUGGAGAUUUUCUGAAGAAACAUCGACGUCACAUAUUUUAUAAAUAAGCAUGUUACUUCCUGAGCUGGUUGUUCGCUACUUGAGAGGACCCAGCGCUGUUAAACUUUUUCAUAUCUGAUCAAUAAAUAUUUGAACUUA
Paramisgurnus dabryanus is the source of this 6644-nucleotide long non-coding RNA. RefSeq lists it as uncharacterized. The record is from RefSeq and is a predicted model, not a curated record. NCBI's taxonomy places the organism in Eukaryota, Metazoa, Chordata, Actinopteri, Cypriniformes, Cobitidae.